Molecule: ribosomal RNA, 654 nt
Filed under: uncultured bacterium
Lineage: Bacteria
Description: bacterial SSU rRNA
Rfam family: Bacterial small subunit ribosomal RNA
Source: RNAcentral
GGGGAUAACACUUAGAAAUAGGUGCUAAUACCGCAUAAGCGCACGAAGCCGCAUGGAUUUGUGUGAAAAACUCCGGUGGUGUAAGAUGGACCCGCGUCUGAUUAGCUUGUUGGCGGGGUAACGGCCCACCAAGGCGACGAUCAGUAGCCGGCCUGAGAGGGUGGACGGCCACAUUGGGACUGAGACACGGCCCAAACUCCUACGGGAGGCAGCAGUGGGGGAUAUUGGACAAUGGGGGGAACCCUGAUCCAGCGACGCCGCGUGAGUGAAGAAGUAUUUCGGUAUGUAAAGCUCUGUCAGCAGGGAAGAAAGAAAUGACGGUACCUGACCAAGAAGCCCCGGCUAACUACGUGCCAGCAGCCGCGGUAAUACGUAGGGGGCAAGCGUUAUCCGGAAUUACUGGGUGUAAAGGGAGCGUAGACGGUUAAGUAAGUCUGGAGUGAAAGGCCGGGGCCCAACCCCGGGACUGCUCUGGAAACUAUUGAACUUGAGUGCAGGAGAGGUAAGCGGAAUUCCUAGUGUAGCGGUGAAAUGCGUAGAUAUUAGGAGGAACACCAGUGGCGAAGGCGGCUUACUGGACUGUAACUGACGUUGAGGCUCGAAAGCGUGGGGAGCAAACAGGAUUAGAUACCCUGGUAGUCCACGCCGUAAACG